RNAcentral lists this microRNA precursor (104 nucleotides) under Haemonchus contortus (barber pole worm). Its description in RNAcentral is "microRNA hco-mir-5975 precursor". The record is from miRBase by way of RNAcentral. Lineage: Eukaryota; Metazoa; Nematoda; Chromadorea; Rhabditida; Trichostrongylidae.
UAAUAUUUAUUCAAAGGAGUGGAGAGUCGGCCGAUUACUACAACCUUCUUUGACAAAGUUGUAGUAAUCGGCUGACCCUCCACUCCUUUGAAUGACUAGGAGUU